Molecule: long non-coding RNA, 332 nt
Filed under: Androctonus crassicauda
Lineage: Eukaryota; Metazoa; Arthropoda; Arachnida; Scorpiones; Buthidae
Source: RNAcentral
ACUGUUAUGUUAUACAGGUUCAUGCUAGAAAGGGUCCCCACUGCAGACCAUUGUGCUAAGCUAUUAAGGGAGAUUGCCCAUCUUAUUGUGUACAAUUCGUACUUUAAGUUCCAUGGUUAUAUAUAUAGACAAAGGAGGGGUGUGCCCAUAGGUGGGCCUCUUGUGGGCAUACUGGCAGAGCUUGUUGUCAGGUUUAAAGAGAGUGAUGUCUUAGGAGGUAUACUUAAAGGAAGUUAGAUUGUAUCAGAGAUAUGUCAAUGACGUCUGUGUAAUAUGGAAAGGGCAACAACAGAAUGACAGGCUUAUAGCGGACCUAUCGGAUAAGACCCCGG